UGGGUGUAUACUACAGGUCACCAGAUCAGGAGGAGGAGGUCGAUGAGGCCUUCUGCAAGCAGCUGGUACUAGCCUCACAAUCACGGGCACUGGUUCUCAUGAGGGACUUCAAUUUUCUGGACAUCUGUUGGCCCCAGAGGUCAGUGCUGCCUUCAUCCAGAGGUGCGUGCUCUUGAACAAUCCCUGUGGACAUUUGGUCAUGCCAAAGGAGAUACUAGAAACUAUUUUGGAAGAAAUUUUGGAAGGACAAUCAAUUAUGGAAGACAUCAUCUGACAGUCUGCAUACUGUAUUAGACAAAAUAUUAUUUCCGGACCUGAAGUCAAUUCUUUUUCAGAAACCACAAAUUUGGAUCAGAAGUUUCCAAAGCUCUACAUAAAUCUCUGCUAUACAUAAGUGCCUAUCUAUGCAUAUACUUUGGUUUCAGUUUAUUAUUAUUGUAGGUCACAGUAAAUAAAAUCAUUUACUUUUGACUUAAAUAUUGGGGAAAGUGUAUUCUAAUUUGAAAAAGGUGGCUACUUACACAUAAGAAAUUAGAAUUGCUGUAACUGUGAUAAUCUAAAUAUAUAGAAUUGCUGUAUCCAUAAUAAUUGCAGGAUGUAAAGAAACAAAGCUUUUAAAUGUGAGUUAUAACUUUUAUUUUUUCAAGUAUAUAGUGGGAGAAAUAAUCUUGCAUUCCUGAAAUCUUGUCUACUCAUCCAAAAUAAUAAGGUGGAUAUUGAAAUAUUUAUAUCUUGAAAGAUUAAAAAAAAAAAUAAUAAUAAUGAUAAUGAAGAAGAAGAAGAAGGGGAAGGAGAAGGAAAAGAUGUGUAUGACAUUGUGUGCUCAGGUGAUAAUGAAACUCCACUCUGUAGAGUCAACUCUGUAUUUGUUGAGUAAUAAUGGACCAUUCCCUGAAAACAGUUUUCUUUCUUCUGUAACAAAAUGAAGGAUAUCCACCAGUAGUAAGAUUGUUCUAGAUGAGUUCAGAAAGCAUAUGGACAGAAUAAUCAAAUAGCAGUAAAGAUUAGUGUCACAAUCAUGGUCAUUCAUGACAAUGAUAUUUUAUGCUUUUGGAGUGAUUUGAAACUAGAAUGGUAUAAAAACCAUUUGAAAGCAGAGUAAAAAUGUUGAAAUCAAUAUUUUCAUGUUUCAAAUUUUAAGUUUUACAGUUUGAUGUUACAACAGCUUAUACUGAUUUUGAAGAAAGCAUGCUUAGAUCAAGGGUAUUUCCAAGAUGAAGGUGAUAGUGAUGGUGAUUAGCAACUACUUACUGAGGAAGAGGGACUAACAUUAAUAGAUAUGCCUGCAAUCCUGUAUUCUUAUGAUUUGUAGGACAUUUAGAAAAGAUACACAUAUAUACACACAAGCGUAAUAAAAUAUAUACAUAUGACUGUAUAAAUACAUAAACUUAUAUGUAAUUAUAAAAAUAUAUCUUCCUUAAGUCCAAACUUCUGGAAUUAUUUAGUUAUGGAAGCAUCUCUGCUGUCAUGAAAAGGAGUACAUUUUCUAGUGCUUAGGCUAGAAAAAAUAAACCUUUGUAAACCCUGAAGGCUGAAAACCAUUACACAAACAAAAAGAAUUGGAAAUGUAUUUUUGAAAUGUAUGCUGUUGACAAUACUGAUCCCUGUAACCAUAUAAUCCACAUGUCCAUCAGGGCUUUUCCACAGAAUCCCAUUAAAAAGAUUCCCCUCUUGGGAGAAAAAAAAAAUAAAAAAAAUGAACUUUUAAAGCCUUAGGACAGCAUAAACUCUACCUUGCAAUAGAUUCUUGGGGCAUAUUCCUCUCCUAUCUUCAAUGCACAAAAUGUAUUGCUAGCACUCAAGAAGUAAUAAACCUACCUGAAGCAUGCAGAAAGAACAAGUGGAUUUUUUAGUAUGCACCAAAUUUAUGCUGAAAAGUGUGACCAUGCAGUUUUUAUAACUAAAAGUUAAAUUGUUUAACUUAUUGGACCAACAGUUUUAGUGAAUAAUAUAUUCCGUGAUCUGUCACUGAACUACAUGCAGUGUAAACUGUGUACUCUAUGAACCUCUGCAGUAUAAAAACACAGUUAAUCUCUGAGGAAAUGUCUUUCAAAAUAAAUAAAUAAAUAUGUU
Molecule: long non-coding RNA, 2073 nt
Organism: Anas platyrhynchos (mallard)
Lineage: Eukaryota; Metazoa; Chordata; Aves; Anseriformes; Anatidae
Source: RefSeq, a predicted model, not a curated record